RNAcentral lists this ribosomal RNA (570 nucleotides) under Staphylococcus warneri. RNAcentral describes it as "partial 23S ribosomal RNA". It matches the Rfam family "Bacterial large subunit ribosomal RNA", at positions 694 to 1267 of the family's 2925-position model. The record is from RNAcentral. Lineage: Bacteria; Bacillati; Bacillota; Bacilli; Caryophanales; Staphylococcaceae.
UAUAAGAGACAGGUCGUAGACCCGAAACCAGGUGAUCUACCCUUGGUCAGGUUGAAGUUCAGGUAACACUGAAUGGAGGACCGAACCGACUUACGUUGAAAAGUGAGCGGAUGAACUGAGGGUAGCGGAGAAAUUCCAAUCGAACUUGGAGAUAGCUGGUUCUCUCCGAAAUAGCUUUAGGGCUAGCCUCAAGUGAUGAUUAUUGGAGGUAGAGCACUGUUUGGACGAGGGGCCCUUCUCGGGUUACCGAAUUCAGACAAACUCCGAAUGCCAAUUAAUUUAACUUGGGAGUCAGAACAUGGGUGAUAAGGUCCGUGUUCGAAAGGGAAACAGCCCAGACCACCAGCUAAGGUCCCAAAAUAUAUGUUAAGUGGAAAAGGAUGUGGCGUUGCCCAGACAACUAGGAUGUUGGCUUAGAAGCAGCCAUCAUUUAAAGAGUGCGUAAUAGCUCACUAGUCGAGUGACACUGCGCCGAAAAUGUACCGGGGCUAAACAUAUUACCGAAGCUGUGGAUUGUCCGUAGGACAAUGGUAGGAGAGCGUUCUAAGGGCGUCGAAGCAUGAUCGCAAG